GACGAACGCUGGCGGCGUGCAUAACACAUGCAAGUCGAACGAUGAACCUUAUUAGAUUUCUUCGGAAUGAAAUUAAGCGGAUUAGUGGCGAACGGGUGAGUAACACGUGAGUAACCUGCCUUACACAAGGGGAUAGCCUUUGGAAACGAAGAAUAAUACCCUAUAAAGUCAAAAUAUCGCAUGAUAUAGUGACCAAAGAUUUAUCGGUGUAAGAUGGACUUGCGUCUGAUUAGCUAGUUGGUGAGAUAAAAGCCCACCAAGGCGACGAUCAGUAGCCGGCUUGAGAGAGUGUACGGCCACAUUGGGACUGAGACACGGCCCAAACUCCUACGGGAGGCAGCAGUGGGGAAUUUUGCACAAUGGGGGAAACCCUGAUGCAGCGACGCCGCGUGAUUUAGAAGGCCUUCGGGUUGUAAAAAUCUUUUUUAUGGGAUGAAAAUGACAGUACCAUAAGAAUAAGGUCCGGCUAAAUACGUGCCAGCAGCCGCGGUAAUACGUAUGGACCGAGCGUUGUCCGGAAUCAUUGGGCGUAAAGGGUACGUAGGCGGCCUAGUAAGUUAGAAGUGAAAUAAUAUAGCUCAACUAUAUAAAGCUUUUAAAACUGUUAGGCUUGAGAGAUGAAAGGGAAAGUGGAAUUCCUAGUGUAGCGGUGAAAUGCGCAGAUAUUAGGAAGAAUACCGGUGGCGAAGGCGACUUUCUGGUCAUCAUCUGACGCUGAGGUACGAAAGCGUGGGUAGCAAACAGG
This 745-nucleotide ribosomal RNA is filed under the name uncultured Anaerococcus sp. Its description in RNAcentral is "bacterial SSU rRNA". It matches the Rfam family "Bacterial small subunit ribosomal RNA", at positions 28 to 776 of the family's 1533-position model. The record is from RNAcentral. Lineage: Bacteria; Bacillati; Bacillota; Tissierellia; Tissierellales; Peptoniphilaceae.